AGUUGAAUGAGUUACGUACAAUCGUUUUGUAAGGACUUUAUUGAUCGUAUGAUAUAUGAUACACUUAACGAAAUAGUUAAGCGUAAAUUGUUCAGAAAAUGGAGACGAGUAUAGCACAGUGUGGCGGUUGCUUUUCUGAUAAGGUUACUGUGAUUUGCGAAAACUGUGAGAUUAAACUGUGCGAGAUAUGUUUUACGAAUCACACGAGGGAAAAAUGUUCUGUUCGCACAUAAUUGUUCUCAUCGAAAGUGCUUAUAAUUCAUGUAUAAUGUCGAAUUUACAAACUGAAAAAUCAGCUUAUACAGGAUUAGAAUCACCGGUCGAUAUUAAUGCUGAUAUUCACAAGCAAAAAUGUAAAGAUCACACUGAUGAAAACCAGUCGUUUUAUUGCGAGAAACAUUCUGUAUGUAUUUGUGGUCGUUGUGUUUUUUCAAAUCAUUUUUCUUGUUUGGAGACGGUGGUUGAUUUGAACAAUGUCCAGCACGACGAAGAACACAUGAAUAAGAGUGUUUCUACAUUGCAAGUAUUGGACGAAGAAAUAGACCACAUUAUGGCCGAAAUAGACGAAAAGAGACAAAAAAUGAUGCAUGUAGAUCAAACUAUGAAAAAGACAUAAAUGAAUUUCAAGGAGCGUUAGUCAAGCAACUGAAAAUGUUGAUGAUAAAAGCAGAACAAGAAAGUGAUAACUUACACAAACAAAAUACAGACGUACUUGAUGAAACGGCACUUAAAUGUAAAGAACAUAGACAAGUUUUACGGCAGCAUAUUCAAUAUUUAGAUGAGUUAAAACAUAAAAAGCAUUAUCGGCAAUUAUUCGUUGCACUUAAGAGAUUGGAGAAAAAUAUUAAUUCAUUUAAAGAUAAAAACGUUAGAUUUAGACAUGAAAAUCAUAUUUAUCAAUAUGAAUUUGUUCGCAACUUCAAGAUUGAUAAACUAAUCGAGGUAGAUCAGCAUAUUGGAAAACUUAAGAUUGAAUGUGAUGGAAGUGACGAAGUAAUUGAAAUCGUUGAGGAGAAGGUAGCUUGCGUAUCUGAUAUAGGAAUGCGAGAUGAGAAAAAUGAAGAGAAAACACCCGAUGAAGAAGAAAAUUCAAAGAGUUGUCGUUUAGAACACGAAGACUUUGAAGGGUUACAAUGCGAUUAUUGUGAAAAAUUAGAGCGUCUUAAAGAGUUAGAAGAAUCUAUUCGAAAACGAGAAGAGAUGCACAUAAACAAAGAGAUUCAGUUUGAUGAGCAGUUGAAAUGUCUGAAAAAAAAGAUACGACAAUUUCAGAACUAGAAAAAAGCAUUAAUGCUGAAAAAGAGAGAUGUAACAGUUUGAAACGCGUAUAUGAACAGAAAAUUAAAAAGCUACAAGAAGAUUUGGGUAAACGGGAGAUUACUCAACAACAUGAACUAGAAAAACGCAUUAAUUUUGAAAAGAGAAAUGCAACAGUAUGAAGCGGGAGGAUGAACUGAUGAUUAAAAAAAUACAAGACGAAUUGGCUGUUUCGGAACAGAAUGUUAAAC
This is a long non-coding RNA of Dreissena polymorpha, 1508 nucleotides long. RefSeq lists it as uncharacterized. The record is from RefSeq and is a predicted model, not a curated record. NCBI's taxonomy places the organism in Eukaryota, Metazoa, Mollusca, Bivalvia, Myida, Dreissenidae. The transcript has 3 exons.